UCUAGGGGGUGUAGCAAUACAUCACCGGCGGACGGGUGCGUAACACGUGGGAAUAUACCUUUUGGUUCGGAACAACGCAGGGAAACUUGCGCUAAUACCGAAUGUGCCCUUACGGGGAAAGAUUUAUCGCCAAAGGAUUAGCCCGCGUCCGAUUAGCUAGUUGGUGAGGUAAUGGCUCACCAAGGCUCCGAUCGGUAGCUGUUCUGAGAGGAAGAUCAGCCACACUGGGACUGAGACACGGCCCANACUCCUACGGGAGGCAGCAGUUGGGAAUCUUGGACAAUGGGGGAAACCCUGAUCCAGCCAUGCCGCGUGAGUGAUGAAGGCCUUCGGGUUGUAAAACUCUUUCGACGGGGACGAUAAUGACGGUACCCGUAGAAGAAGCUCCGGCUAACUUCGUGCCANCAGCCGCGGUAAUACGAAGGGGGCUAGCGUUGUUCGGAAUUACUGGGCGUAAAGCGCGCGCAGGCGGUCUUCCAAGUCAGUGGUGAAAGCCCGGAGCUCAACUCCGGAACUGCCAUUGAAACUGUUANACUUGAGGACGAGAGAGGUGAGUGGAAUUCCCAGUGUANNGGUGAAAUUCNUANAUAUUGGGAAGAACACCGGUGGCGAANGCGGCUCACUGGCUCGUAUCUGACGCUCAUGCGCGACAGCGUGGGGAUCAAACAANGAUUANAUACCCCUGGUAGUCCACGCCGUANACGAUGAAUGCUAGCCGUUGGGNNAGCUUGCUGUUCANUGGCGCANCUAACNNNAUUAAGCAUUCCUUCCUGGNGGAGUACGGCCGCGCNGUUGAUACNCNNANGAANUGAAAGGGGRCCGGCGGNANGGCGGAA
Molecule: ribosomal RNA, 836 nt
Filed under: Rhizomicrobium sp. URHD0076
Lineage: Bacteria; Pseudomonadati; Pseudomonadota; Alphaproteobacteria; Micropepsales; Micropepsaceae
Description: partial 16S ribosomal RNA
Rfam family: Bacterial small subunit ribosomal RNA
Source: RNAcentral